GAUGAAGAACGCAGUGAAAUGCGAUAAGUAAUGUGAAUUGCAGAAUUCAGUGAAUCAUCGAAUCUUUGAACGCACAUUGCGCCCGCCAGUAUUCUGGCGGGCAUGCCUGUUCGAGCGUCAUUUCAACCAUCAAGCCCCCGGCUUGUGUUGGGGACCUGCGGCUGCCGCAGGCCCUGAAAACCAGUGGCGGGCUCGCUAGUCACUCCGAGCGUAGUAAUACAUCUCGCUCAGGGCGUGCUGCGGGUUCCGGCCGUUAAAAGCCUUAUUUACCCAAGGUUGACCUCGGAUCAGGUAGGAAGACCCGCUGAACUUAAGCAUAUCAAUAAGCGGAGGA
RNAcentral lists this unclassified non-coding RNA (334 nucleotides) under soil metagenome. Its description in RNAcentral is "partial contains 5.8S ribosomal RNA, internal transcribed spacer 2, and large subunit ribosomal RNA". The stretch from base 1 to 120 matches the Rfam family "5.8S ribosomal RNA", at positions 35 to 154 of the family's 154-position model. The record is from RNAcentral.